CUAUCUAUAUACAACAUUCACUUGAGGAAAGACCGAUCGCCCCAGGGCCGUAACUACAUUGAGGCAAAUGAGGCAAAUGCCUCAUGUUUUAAAUUAAAAAAAAACUAAACUUAUAGAAAAGAUUGUCUUCAUGAUUGUCUUCAUAUCAAAUUGUUUUCACUGAAAUUGUCUUGCAAGAAGCAAAUUCUCUUCACUCUCUGAUGUCGCCCCUGCAUAUUUUUCGUAAUCCAUUUCAGAGUUGAUGGUCUAUUGUUUGUACUUAUGUGUCCCGGGUUUGUCCUUUGUUCAUUUAUUGUCCUACUUAAGUUGGGGUCACACAUUCACUAUUUUUACUGCCGUCCUUGACAGGACCAUUCCCGAUUAAAAUUUGUCAAAAGUCUGAUCAACAUCCUGUGAAUCGUGAAUGGAAAUUCAAACUUUAAUUAAAUUUUGUAAAACAAAUAAUUUAAUCACGAC
RNAcentral lists this long non-coding RNA (456 nucleotides) under Mytilus galloprovincialis (Mediterranean mussel). The record is from RNAcentral. Lineage: Eukaryota; Metazoa; Mollusca; Bivalvia; Mytilida; Mytilidae.